Non-coding RNA from Ictidomys tridecemlineatus (thirteen-lined ground squirrel), 7088 nucleotides. NCBI's taxonomy places the organism in Eukaryota, Metazoa, Chordata, Mammalia, Rodentia, Sciuridae. The record is from RefSeq and is a predicted model, not a curated record.
UUCCAUGAGGCAGAGGAAGCAGCCUGAUUUCUUGCAGAGGAAGCAGCCUGAUUUCUUGCAGAGGAAGCGGCCUGAUUUCUUGCAGAGGAAGCAGCCUGAUUUCUUGCAUACAGCAUCUGACCUGAUGAAUGAGGUGUCAUCUCCACCUGUCUGUUUUCAUCAAAGGUCAUCCAGAAGGUGGCACACUGACACUCCUGGAAGCACCCGGGGAUUCCAGCACGGCUCACACAGUGACACCUGGUGGCCACAACGUGUCCUUGCCCUGCAGAGGCUCCUACUGUGAGACCUCAAAGUCCGUGCCUUCUUGAAGGUGACUGGUCCUGUGAAGUCCUGCACCAGGUGAAGCAGAGCUCAUGAAGUAAGAUGCACACACCCCGUCUACAGGCCAUCUGCUUUACAAGUCCAAACGGUAACUGUUCUUAAGAGAGGGUGCCAAGGCACACUCUGUCAGAAGAACUUCUACUUCCAGGUUUCCUAAGAAUUACCUAAGAGUGCGCCACUGCUGUGCCUGCUCAGUCUUGAAAUUCGGUGGUCUUGGAGCUGUUCCUUAAGAAAAUGUUUCAGAAAUUCUUCUCACAGGGAGGGAUGCUGGUCAGCAACUCCCAGCAAAGUAGAGAAAUAAGUUCAAGAGUCUAUUGGACAACAUGGUGACUGCAGAUAGGAACAAUCUUAUACUCUUAAAAAAUGCUCUUGCCACUAAAAAAAAGAAAAGGAAAAAGAAAAAGAAAAAGAACUCAUGAUAUAAUUUUUAAUUAGCUAGAUUUAGCCAUUACACAUUGCAUAUAUAUUUUUAAACAUCAUAUAAUACACAAUUUUUAGUUUAUAAACAUUUCUCCCUCACAUACACCCAAUUCCUUAAUAGUUAUUAGGGUUAUAUAUAAUUUUUUUAAUGGAAGUUUGAUUUAAUCAAGUUGUUCUCUUUGGGUAUAUGGGAAAUGGCCCCCCCUUAGAACCACUCACCAAAUCAAAACAUUUUUGUGCAUCUAAAUUCAUUUGCAGAGAGCAGCUUGCACCCUCUCUAUCGAUGAGGUCUCUAUGGCCACUGGUAAGAUUUUUACAAAGCCUCAGAGUGGCACAUCUUUCCAGAGGUGAGGAAGCGUGGCCUGCUGACUCAGCAUUCUACAUCAGAACUCAGCACCCAACCCACUGAGUAGAUGCAGAAUUUGGACUAGUUGCUGAUGUCCAAUUCAGCUUGCAGACCAUUCUGUCAGAGUUCCCAGUGAGCCAAAGUUAAUAGCAAAUACAAAGAUAAAUCUACCCGCAACACCGUGCUGAGGACAAUCAUCCCGGCAGCAAUGGGGCUGUGCUGGCUGCAAUUUAAUGUCGUGAGCUGUUUCCUCCUCAGAUUGAAGACAAGUGGGACAGACUGCUGACACACCACAGACGCCUCCAACGCAGGCCGUGGAAUGAAAGCAGCACCAGCCAGGCCACUGGGAAAGGCAGAAGGCAAGAGGUGCUCGCUGGUGCCAGAACAGAGCCUCCGGGUUAGACCACAUGUGGAACAGGCUAAUGCCUUCAUCACGUCCAGAGUACUGCUGGAUUCUACAGCUGCCAAGAGCCUUGGCAAUCAGGACUGCUAUUGCUCAGGCUUUUCACUGUUUCCUUUUUGAACACUCAUCCCUUAAAAUGAGUCUUUUGCCAGACCCCAUCCUGGCUCUUGAUUCACGGAACUCUCUCUCCUGACUCUCACCUUUCUGUGGAUGACUCUCCAAUCGUUAGUUCCAGUCCCGACCUUGGUCCUAAGCGGCAGGCUCAAACAUGAACCACGUGCUAGACAUCUCCCAGGGGGUGUCUCGAGCACAUUUCAUUCGAGGAGAUUAACAAAAGCCAGCUGGCCAUCUGCCCCAGAGAGCCAGUCGCUCUGCUGUCCUGGUUGUCUGAGUUAAUGGCAGUCCUGGGCUUGCCAUCCCCUGACACCCCUUCCCUGGGCCACUGCAAGAGCCCCUCUCGGAGCCUCCGUUGCCCACUCUCUCCACACCCUGCAGCUAUCUCUGAACCUAGCUCAGCUCCAGGGGCACUUUCCUGGCUUCAAAACUCAACAUUCUUUCUUUGCUCCCCAGGAUAAAAUCCAGAUUUCUUUAAAUAAAAAUGUCAGGUACCCUGACCUCAGUCGGCUUCCUGGCCUUACCUCCCUCGCCACAGCCGUGGGUCUCUCCCUUCACCACACACUGUGCUGCCUAGAGCUGUUGACCUGGAGGAGUCUGAAGGGACAAUCCACAGGAAGGAAAUACCAAUCCACCACAUAAAAACAACAGAAGUAAACGUUAAAGUGGACUAAGAUUAUAUUUCCACGUAUCAAAUUGGCAAAAAUCUAAAACUUUGCUAAUAUGCUCGAUAAGACAUGAAAAAGGCACUCCAGACAUUCCUGGCAGAGGCGUCCACUGGGAAAUGUGACAGAUGGCCCUCUUCAAGAGUCUUUCAAAAUGUCCACUGUGCCUCCCAUGGUAGCCUCUUGACAAGAUGGCUCUGGCCUUACAAAGCGAUGCUACACGUUUGCAAUGUGACCACCAUCAGGAGCUGGAAUCUAUUUCACCUGCCCUUGAACCUGGGCAUGUCUUUGGCCAGCAGAAUGCGGUGGUGCACCAGUGUUGAGGGAGACCCCAAGAGCCCUCCCACGCUCCUUCUGCCCCUGAAUUCUCAUCUCCGCAUGAACAAGCCAUACUGGCACCUGGAGGUAAGGUACACGGCUCAGGUGCCUCUGACUUUCUAGCCAAAUGCUGACAAGUGCGUGAGCCCACCCAGGACUAGCCAGACCCACGCCCACCCAUCAGCAGGCAGCAGAUACUGACCAACCCCUGCUGAUCCCAGUGAAGAUUUGCCCCAAUCUCUAGAGACACCACACAGCAUUGUAGACUUCUCUUGAUACUAAAUGCUAAAUGUUCUUUGUUUCAAGCCAUCACGUUUUGAGAUGGCGGGUUACAUACCAGGAACCAACUGAGAGGCCCACUGAGGGGGGAUCCAGCUUGGAGCAAUCUGUUGUGCAGAAGCAGUUGCCCAGCUACAAAAUCAGCCCCAGACAGGCCUUUUCACCACAGUUUGUUGGUAACUUCAAAAGAAAACAAAGGUUGUUUGGAAACAUCAUUGAUAGACAAUUAGUAAUUAAAUUACAGUAUACUGAUAUAAUUAAAUUAUAGUAGACUACAAUUAAAUCAUGGAAUCGGCUCUACAAGGAAGGCUCUGGGUGCCUUCUGCAGAACAUCUGCCAAGGUGCGCCAGCUCGGGGAAACAGCACGGUUCAGAGCAGUGCUCCCGUGAUAAGCUACGAUUCAUGGAAGAACACACUGUACUGUGUGUACAAGCUAAAUUACUUCAAAAGAUACCCAGGAACCUGAAAUCAUCGGCUGCCUUGUACAAAAUAAAAUAUGAACGAGAGUUACAAAGACAAUUUGAGUUUGUAUGUGUAUGUAUGUGCAUUACAUUUAUAUUUAACUUUUGAACACUGACCCAGGUUAACAUAUUGCAAAAAUAAAUAGCCUUACUAGGUCGUCCAAAAGACCUAGUGCUGCCUGCAUAUGGACACUCCCCAACAGAGGUAUCUGUACAUGGAUAGGACCUGCUAAGAGAAUGCUCAAUUAAUAGGAAGCACGGGCUUGGCUAAAGGCACAGAAAUCAGCAGGCGCUAUUGCUGUCUUCCCGUCCCAACUGCGACUCACCACACACCUGAGCAGGCGGUCCGGGAGCUCUGGCCUGGCCCUCUGCCUCUCCCUGCAGCACCCUGGGAGAGGAGCUGAAAGUCAACCAUGACUCUAAAGAACAGUCGACGUGGUCGGCUUAAAGUCAUCUUCUUAUGAGACAUCAGGGAUGAGCAGAGGGUCACUGCGCUGGUUUAAACUGUGAAGAAACAGAAAGGACCUCCAUCACCCACAAUCAGAGGAAGGCUAAUUAAACCGGGGCACACCAAGGGGAUGGACGAGUGGGCAAGCAAGUCCUCGUAACCCUGGGAAGCACUAGGCUCACACCAAGGUGUCAGCAUUGCCACAGGCACAGGAAGUCCCUGAAGAAACCAAGAGCUGGCCCUGAAAGGAAGCACACCGUUAUGAGGGUCACCCUCCACAGGCGCCCCCUCCCACCCUACGUUCACGACGACACUGAGGAUCCAUGUUUAGUGAACACCUUGAACAUCCAUAACGUAUCUGCCAGCCGCUACAGUCUGGAUGUGGUUUGUACCCCAAGAGGUCUGUGGGCUGGAAGUGGGGUGCGUGUGACAUGUGGGGAGGCACAGAACCUUGAAGAGGUGGAGGCCACCGUGAGGAAUGAGGACAGUCAGGAGCCCGACCUCAGAGGGAGAGAUGCUGGACUCACGGAGCGGGUUGGUUUUCACCAGGACAGACUGUUCAAGAGCGAGGCCACCCCACACUUGGCCCUUCCCCACAUGACCAGUUCCCCUUCUCUGCCCUCGUCAGCUGCCAAACAGAUGGACUCACAGAAUCGCAGGCUUUCAGCCCCCAAACCGUGAGCUAAAUGAACUCCUCUUCUUUGUAAAGUACCAGCCUUGGGUAUCUCAUCAGAGCAACAAAAAUGGGCUAAGACAACAAUGUACUGUGUGUGACAGAGAAUACGAGGAAAUGAAGGGCUGGGAUGUACCUCAGUGGUACAGCACUUGCCUCACAUGCACAAGGCCCAGGGCUCAGUCCUCAGCAGAGAGAGAGAGAGAGAGAGAGAGAGAGAGAGAGAGAGAGAGAGAAUAUAUAAUCAUAACACUCGAGAAAUGCCUAGUGCUUUAGUACACAACCCCAGGAUCUCAACAUCACCAUAAUACAGUCUUUUUCUUGCCACUCAAAAGUCAACACAGGUGGACCAGAUGUCCCCCGUCCCUUGCAGUCAUGGGGAAUCAGGCUCCUCCUGCUCACAGCUCUGCUGUCUCUGGGUCCUCGGAGUCCUCCUCCCUGCUGCAGAGGACGGAGCAGGAGGAGCCCCCUUGGGAACGUGGCAUGGCCAGGUCUGGAAGUGCAGGCACCACCCGGCCCAGGCCCACUGGCUAGUGCUCAGCACACGGCCCCAUCUCCUGUAAGGGAGCUGGACACCUCGGAGCUGUGUGCUCACCAGGCAGGAAGAAAGGGCAGCAGGGGGGACGGUAACCCGCCCCUGACACAUCUUCAAAGAGGCUCAUGAAAGAAGAAAAUUCUGAGUUAUUUCUUAAAAGUUGGAAAUGACAACUUAGAAAAAAUAACACAGAGAGUGGGAUAGCUGGGUGGUCUGGCAUGACAAGGGCAGAGCAAGAGAAUCAGAUGAAUCGUUUUCAAGAGGGAAAGAAGCCAUGAGAGGCCGUCCUCCUCAUUUUGUGCUUUCUACCACAGUCAGGAAACUGCUUUAGAAUCCGACAAGGCUCUGCCCCACUCCCACUCUGCCUCUGUGAAGUCCUGGGCAAACUGAAGAUCAAAACCCAGAGUUCCCCUGUGUGGGAUGGAGGUAGAAUCCCAGUCACAAUGUCAUCAUACACGUCAGGGGGACACGGUACGCGUUCAGCAAGCCACAGCCCUCUUCACAGGUGCCCUCUGACCACAGAGUCCCCAGGGGUGGAUCCUGAUUCUCAUGCCACAAUACAGGAUCCGUUCCGGCCUUGACAUCCUACAGAAGAGCAAUGAUCCCUAUUUUCUAAGUUUUUAGGAAAUUUGAAAUAUCUUAAACUCACUCCUCCUUCAUCACCCUCUAACUUAAAUAAAUAACCCAGGACAGAGGAAAUAGGAAAAUCAUCUUUCUAUGUCAGCAACCAAAUCAGGGAUCAUUGAGCACAUAGGAGGACACGCUUGCUUAUUAGCUGAAGAAUGGACAGUGAUCAUCAACAUAUUCAUUCUAGUUGUGCCGCACGGUUUUAUGUGAUAAUUACCAUCUAUUUAACUAAAAUGACCCCGUAUUUCUAAGUUUUGAUCAUGGUAGCACAACAGAAGACCAGCACCAUAAUAAAAGAAAUGUCUUGAGGUUCCUAGUAGCUUUCAGACACAGAAGAUGUCAAAAAAGAAAAGAGCCCGAGGUUUCCGAUGCUCCUUUGGCCAUUUGCAUGUACAUCAUCAGACUCGGCUCGUGACGUGCUGUCAUCGCAUUUCUGUUUUGUCAGAAGCUUCAUUUUGAACAUUCCCAGAGGCCGUGGGUGUCCCAGUGCUCCGAGCUGCCACUGGAUGAAGAAAGCCUCCACCCUCCCCUCUUCACCUAUCCUUUACCAGCUCUUCCUCGCCUGCUCCCGGCCUGGCACUGUGGGAGCACAGCAGACCCUGGUCCCCUGCCCCCAUCUCGCCCAGAGGAGGGGGACUCCAGCAACCGACACCCACACUGACACAAGUGUCCCGACCUGAGGGGAACUUCUCUGUCGCUCUUCCUAGGAACAGCAUCGGUCUCAGUCUGUUGGUGCUGCUAUAACAAAACGUCGGAGACGGGUGAAUUGGAAAGAACAGGUCAAGUCCCCAGGAGGUUCAGUCUCUCCUCCCAGGGUGGAGCCUGGCUGCCCCCUGGAGGGGAAGGGGAAGGAGGGGAAGGCAACCCUCCCAGAGCCUCUUUAGUAAGGGUCACACACCAUUGGCCAGGUGGGGCCCCAGGGAGCUGGCCACCUCUCAAAGGCCUAAGUCUCAGUGCUGUCUUCAACACAUGGGUUUUGGAGGGAAUACACCAAACUACAGCAAAUUACAAAUGUGAAUGAGUCUUAUUUAUGACACACAAGAGGCAGAAACCUGAGCCAGGGAAAAGGAGCAAUCGAGGUGACGCCUGCGUGGCCUGGUUGAGCGAUGUCCCUGGCAGGCCCUGGGACUCCCAGCCUCCCAGCCACAGGGACGUCCCCUUCCAGCCCACACACAGUGAGCGUGUCCACCGGGCGCUGCUCAUCCCAGCACCAAACACAACCACGUUACCAGACAGCUGCAGACCCAAGCACCCUCCCUCCCACGCCCUGCAGAAAGCACAGCUCCAAGGACCUGCGAUCCCCAGCCCCCGCGAUCCCCAGCCCCCGGCAAAGCAGCGUCCCCCGGUCCUGGCAGGAGUGGGCACACUUGCUCGCACGUAGGGACUGACAGAACCCAGGGUGGCUGUCUGGGAGCCAGGCCGGUGUGGGAAAAGGCCGCUGAGGCCCCCCGAGGUCUGCUUUCACAUCUCACCUGUGG